Molecule: small nuclear RNA, 107 nt
Organism: Rhinolophus ferrumequinum (greater horseshoe bat)
Lineage: Eukaryota; Metazoa; Chordata; Mammalia; Chiroptera; Rhinolophidae
Source: Ensembl
GUGCUCGUUUCAGCAGCACAUAUACUAAAAUUGGAACAAUUCAGAGAAGAUUAGCAUGGGCCCUGAGCAAGGAUGACACGCAAAUUCGUGAAGCGUUCCACAUUCAG